Molecule: transfer RNA, 74 nt
Filed under: Pelolinea submarina
Lineage: Bacteria; Bacillati; Chloroflexota; Anaerolineae; Anaerolineales; Anaerolineaceae
Description: anaerobic bacterium MO-CFX1 tRNA
Rfam family: tRNA
About the family: Transfer RNA (tRNA) molecules are approximately 80 nucleotides in length. Their secondary structure includes four short double-helical elements and three loops (D, anti-codon, and T loops).
Source: Rfam by way of RNAcentral
GCCCUCGUAGCGCAAUUGGACAGAGCACUGGACUUCUAAUCCAACGGUUGUGGGUUCGAAUCCCACCGAGGGCG